CAAUUUUUCCAUUUUUCCCGCCUUUCCCAAAACCCCAAUUCUCUCUCUCUCUCUCUCUCUCUCUCUCUCCACUACAUUCAUUCUUUCAUUCUAUCCGAUCUGCUCUCAGUAAUACACAUUCAUACACACAGACAGUUGCACAGCCCAGUAAUCAAACCCUAAACGGAGAUCCGGCACUGCAAAUAUGAAUCAGUACCACAUCUAUGAAGCUAUUGGCCGGGGCAAAUACUCGACCGUUUACAAAGGAAGGAAGAAGAAGACGAUCGAGUAUUUUGCUAUCAAAAGCGUCGAUAAGUCACAAAAGAGAAAGGUUCUUCAAGAAGUUCGGAUUCUUCAUUCUUUAGAUCACCCAAAUGUACUAAGGUUCUAUUCAUGGUAUGAGACUUCUGCUCACCUAUGGUUGGUCUUGGAAUAUUGUGUUGGUGGAGAUCUCAUGACUUUGUUACGCCAGGAUAGUCAACUUCCUGAGGAUUCAAUACAUGAACUUGCUUGUGAUCUUGUCAGGGCUUUACAGUUUUUGCAUUCAAAAGGAAUUAUUUACUGUGACCUAAAACCAUCAAACAUCCUUUUGGACGAGAAUGGGCGGACCAAGCUCUGUGAUUUUGGAUUGGCAAGAAAAUUGAGUGAUAUAUCUAAAACUCCUUCUUCUCUGCUGCCACAGGCAAAACGUGGAACACCCUGUUAUAUGGCACCUGAGUUGUUUCAAGAUGGAGCAGUUCAUUCUUAUGCUUCUGAUUUGUGGGCCCUUGGUUGUGUGCUUUAUGAGUGUUACUCAGGGAGGCCUCCCUUCGUGGCGAAGGAGUUUACACAGUUAGUAAAAUCUAUCCUCUCUGAUCCGACUCCACCUCUUCCUAGUAACCCAAGCCACUCUUUUGUCAAUCUGAUAAACUGUCUUCUGGUAAAAGAUCCUGCUGAAAGGAUACAGUGGCCUGAGCUUUAUGGCCAUAGUUUUUGGAGAACAAAGUUCACUCCUGUGCCUCUACCUCCUCAGCCUGCUUUCACCAACAUGAUAGAACUUUCUGCUAGGAACUAUCUUUCAGAGCGCAAUGGUGAUAAGCCCCUCCAACAUAAGACACCCCCCAAAUAUCGUGAAAAUGAUUCAAAGGGAGUUCCUAAACAGGACGAGAACUCUAUUUCAGGGGCAAGAGGUUUUGAGACACCAGUUAAGAAUGUUCCUGCGGGCCGAAAAACUCAAACUAGGCCUUCUAGCAGAGUUACUGAGGAGAAGCAGAAAGAUGCUUCAAGUGCCACAAGGGGUGUGAAUCUUCUAAGGCUCUCAAGGAUAGCAAAAUCAAACCUGCAGAAAGAAAAUGAGAAAGAAAAUUAUCGGAGGCCCUUGCCCAAUAGUACCGAAAAUGAUGCUGAAGUUAAAAUUGAGAACAAUGACAUGGAGCUUGAUUUUAAUGAGAACACUGAGGAUGAAACACAGGACGAAACAGAUGGAUGUGAAAAUUCUACUCCUACUCAUGUUGAGAAACUUCCAAGUAUAGAUAAGGACAAUGGCAAAGUGGAAGAGACUGAUCAUAGUACAGUCCACAUGGAUAUCUCUCCAGAGAUCAAUGUGGCUGUCUCUGAUGACCCAAAAACACUUGAGCAGGAAUCUGGUUCAGAACACAUUGAAGUAGUUGCUACUCCGCCUGGUGGUGGUCCCCAAAGAAAGGCUCAAAGGGUUAAAGCAGUGUCAGGGAAUGCAACUGAUUCUGAUUCCUCAAGACCAUCCAAUAACCUUUCACAGGUGCUUUGGCAUCCAUCAGAUCUCUCAGUGAGACCUGUAAUGCCCAGCAGAAGAGGUGAUAAAGCUUCAGAGGCAACUUUAUCACUUCCCUUUGAUGCACCAAUAGCAUCUGAUUUUGUGAAAUUGUCCAAAGAGCAACUUGAUGUACUCAACACUCGUAUAAUAUCCAUUCUGAAUGGCAACAUCCCUGUUGGAGAGAAGCAGAACACAAUUAGAUAUCUUGAAAUGUUAAGUGGGAAUGCUGAUGCUGCAAAUAUCUUAACCAAUGGGCCAAUUAUGAUGGUCCUUGUCAAAAUGCUACGACUAUCAAAGGCUUCUACUCUGCGCGUUCAACUUGCUUCAGCUAUUGGGUUGUUGAUUCGACAUUCAACCUUCAUUGGAGAUGAUAUAGCGAGUUCUGGUAUUUUGGGGGCAUUAACAGAUGGACUUAGAGACAAACAGGAAAAAGUGAGGAGGUUUUCUAUGGCUGCUUUGGGUGAGUUGUUGUUCUAUAUAUCCACUCUAAAUGAUCAAGCCAAGGAUAGUAAUCCUCCAGAAUCUCCAUCAAAGGAUAGCCGAUCUGCAUCUGGGUGGCAGGUUCCAAGUCCAGUAAUUUCACUGGUGUCAUCCAUUUUACGGAAAGGAGAGGAUGAUGUAACUCAGCUUUAUGCUUUGAGAACAAUUGAAAACAUUUGCAGUCAAGGUGGGGAUUGGGCAGCUCGGUUUACCAGCCAGGAUGUGAUUGGUAACCUCUGCUAUAUAUUCAAGGCCCCUGGGAAACAGGAGAGUACAAGGCUAACUGCAGGAUCUUGUUUGGUUCGGCUGGUUCUUUUCAACCCCCCUAGCAUUCAAUCAGUCAUGGAGAAACUUUCAUUUAAGGAUGCUGCAUCUGCUUUUGUCAAAGGCGGUCAACGGGAGCAGCAGAUCAACUUGAACCUUCUAAACAUGGCCAUGAUUGGAAGUCAUAUGUUCACAAACAUUGGCCGGCACCUUCUGUCCUUAGUGGAAGAGAAGAAUCUAGUGCCGAGUCUUUUAUCACUAGUUGAGCAGGGAAGUGAAGUCCUUCGUGGGAAGGCACUUAUUUUUGUGGCUCUCCUCUGUAAGAAUGGACGGAGGUGGCUUCCUCAUUUCUUCUGCAAUGUGAAGUUUCUCUCUGCAAUUGAUAGGUUGGUGAAAGAGAAGGACAGCUAUUUGCAGCAGUGCAUGGGGGCCUUUGUGCAUGUUGUGUCCUCUGUUGUGCCUGGUCUACUGGAGAGUAUAACUGGAGAUAUUCAGCAAAUGAUGAGUGGGAGACGUCAUGGGCAGGUUGCUGCUCUGAACAGUCGAGCCACUAAAAUCAAUGUUCAUUUGUUUCCUGUGGUGCUCCACCUGCUUGGAAGUUCAUGCUUUAAAAGCAAAAUCAUCAGCCAUCAGGUGCUGGAGCAAUUGGCGAACCUCAUCAAGCUUAUUGAGUCACCUUUUCAGGGCAGAGACGAUUUCCAAAUAACACUUCUGCGAAUUCUUGAGUCCAUCACAGAGGAGCCCUCCAUUGUUCUUGAAGACCCCAAAAUUUUCACCACUCAAAUUCUCCCUAGUCUGGCUGUGUUGUAUAAAGGAAACAAAGAUGGAGAUGCCAGGUUCCUUUGCCUGAAGAUAUUCUUUGAUGUGAUGGUUAUUGUCUUGAAUGAACCAUCAGAAAAUGAGCAAAGAAGAGGGGACUUAAAGUCUAUUUCUUCUGCCCAUUUUAUCCCAUUGUACACUAGCUUUAUGGAGGACGAAGAUCCAAUUCCCAUGUAUGCACAGAAGCUCCUUCUGAUGCAAAUUGAGUUUGAUUACAUAAAAAUUCCGGACAUCCUACAUCUGAAAGCGGUCUCAAAGUGCUUUGAAUUUCUUCUUGGUGAUCUGUCCAAUGCAAAUGUUAAUGAUGUUAAUCUCUGUUUGGCUCUCACGUCUGCCCCAGAAAUGGAAACUAAGAUACUCUCUCAACUAAGAGUUGUUAGGAGGAUUGGCAACCUCCUGGAGCUUGUGAAUGCAAAGGAAAUGGAAGAUUUUCUUGAACCUACUCUUGGUCUAUGUAGGGCUUUCCUUAUACGAGCUGUGUGCAGCAAAAAGGACUUCAUAUAUUCAAAGGAACCAGCUCUAUUAGGUGGUGAUAUUUCCCUUGAUGUGAGCAGUGCAGUUGAUUUGCAGCAUUCCAUAAAUGAUAUCGCCGACUUUGGCAAUAGUGUUGGUGUACUGCUGGAAUUGAGUGGAUCCCCUAAUGCACAGAUUGCAGAUUUGGCAUCUGAGUGUGUGAUUUUAUUGCUCAAGGCAGCUCCAAGGGAGGGGACUAAUGGACUUUUGACAAACCUUCCCAAGGUUAUUGGGAUCCUGGAGUCUUGGAGACGUGUUUCAUUUGGCUUACUCUUGCGUCGCAUAUUGCAUGCUCUUGGUUACUCAUGUAGGUUCUACAUGGGCCAUGCAAUGAUAUUGUCAAUAGCAACAUCUGAGAUUACAAAGAUUAAAGCCAUCGUUUCUGAUAUUAAAAACUCAACCAUCCCCAGUGUUGCCAAUGCUGCUUCAGUUGUUGUUCUGGAGUUGCAGCACCUUCCUCAUUGCUUCUGAGGCAAUAAAAUGUUAGUUACUUUCCGAGGCUCAAAAAGCAUGUACUCCUGUGCUUAUUUAAAACAUCAUUAUACUGAAAUUUCAGAAAUUUGCUGUUGUGCACAGGAUUAUAAAUCGCCAAUUUACUACAUAUAAGCUUGUUCAGUCCUUGUUUCCCAAGAUCUCAUCUGAGGUUAUAUUAUCCUCAUAUUGAGUCACAGGGAUAAGAAAUAGAUGGAUGCCUGAACAUAUUAUGUGAGCAGUGAAUUAUUCUUACUGCAAUGUACUCACAGUCUGCAAAGGGUGAUCGGGGAAAUUAAUUGAAUACAUUGUCGGAUCAACUUUCUGAAUAAUCUUGCCCCCAUCAACCUAUUAUUUGUUUAGAGGUUCUAUUUUCUGGUGUGGUGUGACUUUGACCUUGUCUGCAUAUGCUCCAGAGAAUUGAGUUCAUAAAUCCUGCAUCCAGCAGUCAAUUCCAGAAACUUUCUUGUUAGCUAGCUAACUUCAUAUGUAGCUUGAUGUCCCUAUCUGAUGCACUGUAGAUCAAAGUGGAAGCCAGGCUGUUUUAUACAC
This is an RNA transcript of Nelumbo nucifera (sacred lotus), 4849 nucleotides long. It is a transcript of the gene named kinase family with ARM repeat domain-containing protein, with no coding region annotated. The record is from RefSeq and is a predicted model, not a curated record. NCBI's taxonomy places the organism in Eukaryota, Viridiplantae, Streptophyta, Magnoliopsida, Proteales, Nelumbonaceae.